RNAcentral lists this ribosomal RNA (253 nucleotides) under uncultured bacterium. RNAcentral describes it as "partial 16S ribosomal RNA". It matches the Rfam family "Bacterial small subunit ribosomal RNA", at positions 524 to 776 of the family's 1533-position model. The record is from RNAcentral.
UACGGAGGGAGCUAGCGUUGUUCGGAUUUACUGGGCGUAAAGGGCGCGUAGGCGGCGUGACAAGUCACUUGUGAAAUCUCCGGGCUUAACUCGGAACGGUCAAGUGAUACUGUCGUGCUAGAGUACAGAAGGGGCAACUGGAAUUCUCGGUGUAGCGGCGAAAUGCGUAGAUAUCGAGAGGAACACCUGCGGCGAAGGCGGGUUGCUGGGCUGAUACUGACGCUGAGGCGCGAAAGCCAGGGGAGCGAACGGG